Orbicella faveolata is the source of this 650-nucleotide long non-coding RNA. Lineage: Eukaryota; Metazoa; Cnidaria; Anthozoa; Scleractinia; Merulinidae. The record is from RefSeq and is a predicted model, not a curated record.
UAUCGAUGGUGGGCAGUUCCAAAUGUUCAAGAAGAUGACUUGAAUCUUAUGCAUCAUUUACGCUGGUGGAAAAAUUCCUCUCACAUUUUCCAUUAAUGCGAGGGGCAAAUUCAAGUUUGAAAACCAAAGGUGUUCAACUUAACGACUAAAGUUGUCAAUCCGUUUCGCCAGAUUACAGGCUUCAACAGCGAGCAGCUUCAAAGUUUGAGAAGAUGGCUUUCGAGGACAUCAUGCACGCUAUCGAAAGAAUCCUGUAAACGCGAUGGGCAAACUCUGAUUUCUUUGAGAUGACCAGUGUGGGGAAAGGCAAAAGAGAAAAAACCACCAAUAACUAGCAUUUGUUUUAUACUUAUAGCGAGACUUUUGAGCUCUCGUCCUUGUGGUGCAACCUUAAAUGCACGCAUGCGCGUUUGGUAUCAUAUUUUACAAUAAAAUUUUUCUAAGUCUUUUGGCGGGAAACCUUUGUAUAUGUCAAAUUCACUUGUGAUCCCUUUCUUUCAGAUGCCUUGAAAAUGACCAGUUUUAAGAAGUGGCCAAAGAAAAAUUGCCAACCUCGGAAGGAAGGCAAAAAUUGAUGUGGAACACCGCCACCUCCCCGCCACCACCACUAACUAGCAUUUCUUUUAUACUUAUAGCGAGAGUUUGGUGCA